Molecule: ribosomal RNA, 425 nt
Filed under: uncultured bacterium
Lineage: Bacteria
Description: partial 16S ribosomal RNA
Rfam family: Bacterial small subunit ribosomal RNA
Source: RNAcentral
GUGGGGAAUAUUGGACAAUGGGCGAAAGCCUGAUCCAGCAAUGCCGCGUGAGUGAUGAAGGCCUUAGGGUUGUAAAGCUCUUUUACCCGGGAUGAUAAUGACAGUACCGGGAGAAUAAGCUCCGGCUAACUCCGUGCCAGCAGCCGCGGUAAUACGGAGGGAGCUAGCGUUGUUCGGAAUUACUGGGCGUAAAGCGCACGUAGGCGGCUUUGUAAGUUAGAGGUGAAAGCCUGGAGCUUAACUCCAGAACUGCCUUUAAGACUGCAUCGCUUGAAUCCAGGAGAGGUGAGUGGAAUUCCGAGUGUAGAGGUGAAAUUCGUAGAUAUUCGGAAGAACACCAGUGGCGAAGGCGGCUCACUGGACUGGUAUUGACGCUGAGGUGCGAAAGCGUGGGGAGCAAACAGGAUUAGAAACCCCGGUAGUCC